This 322-nucleotide ribosomal RNA is filed under the name uncultured soil bacterium. Its description in RNAcentral is "bacterial SSU rRNA". It matches the Rfam family "Bacterial small subunit ribosomal RNA", at positions 26 to 362 of the family's 1533-position model. The record is from RNAcentral.
AGAGCGAACGCUGGCGGCAGGCCUAACACAUGCAAGUCGAACGGACUCUUCGGAGUUAGUGGCGGACGGGUGAGUAACACGUGGGAACGUGCCUUUUGGUUCGGAGUAGCUCCUGGAAACGGGUGGUAAUGCCGAAUGUGCCCUUCGGGGGAAAGAUUUAUCGCCAUUAGAGCGGCCCGCGUCUGAUUAGCUAGUUGGUGAGGUAAAGGCUCACCAAGGCUACGAUCAGUAGCUGGUCUGAGAGGAUGACCAGACCACUACUUGGGACUGAGACCGACCGGACCCAAACUCCGUAACGGGGAGGCGAGACGAGGUGGGGGAA